This 497-nucleotide ribosomal RNA is filed under the name uncultured bacterium. RNAcentral describes it as "partial 16S ribosomal RNA". It matches the Rfam family "Bacterial small subunit ribosomal RNA", at positions 28 to 507 of the family's 1533-position model. The record is from RNAcentral.
GAUGAACGCUGGCGGCGUGCCUAAUACAUGCAAGUCGAGCGAACGGACGAGAAGCUUGCUUCUCUGAUGUUAGCGGCGGACGGGUGAGUAACACGUGGAUAACCUACCUAUAAGACUGGGAUAACUUCGGGAAACCGGAGCUAAUACCGGAUAAUAUUUUGAACCGCAUGGUUCAAAAGUGAAAGACGGUCUAGCUGUCACUUAUAGAUGGAUCCGCGCUGCAUUAGCUAGUUGGUAAGGUAACGGCUUACCAAGGCUACGAUGCAUAGCCGACCUGAGAGGGUGAUCGGCCACACUGGAACUGAGACACGGUCCAGACUCCUACGGGAGGCAGCAGUAGGGAAUCUUCCGCAAUGGGCGAAAGCCUGACGGAGCAACGCCGCGUGAGUGAUGAAGGUCUUCGGAUCGUAAAACUCUGUUAUUAGGGAAGAACAUAUGUGUAAGUAACUGUGCACAUCUUGACGGUACCUAAUCAGAAAGCCACGGCUAACUACGUG